RNAcentral lists this long non-coding RNA (909 nucleotides) under Gossypium barbadense (sea-island cotton). RNAcentral describes it as "long non-coding RNA (GBAR_LNC008361)". The record is from RNAcentral. Lineage: Eukaryota; Viridiplantae; Streptophyta; Magnoliopsida; Malvales; Malvaceae.
CAAAAUGAGGGAUAUGAGAGUGUGUACCUUAUCUUGGUGGGUGCAUGACUCUUUCUACUACUUCAAGGCAAUUGUCCCAUUAGGACCCAUCGUGAAUCCAACUCUUGGAAGUAGAAAUAUGCUGAUUUCUACUGUGGUAAGAUAGUUUUCACUCUCAAUUUUUUUAAUAAAAAAAUCUUGGCUCGCGGGGCACAUUAAAUAACAAUCUGGAGUAGGCAUGAUGAUUAAUUAGUAAUUAUGAUGUGCAGUUUAAACAUGAAUUUUGAGGAUGUAGAAAAAAUAUUUUGUCAAUAAUUCAUAUGCAAAAUUGAUUCCAGUAUUCCAAAACAAUUGAUAUUAUUGGUUUUUGCUUUUCUAUCAGCAACAAAUAAAUAAUCUAAUUUUGUUUUCAAACCUGCUGUUGAGGGUUUGCAUCAAUAUUUAUAAAAAGUCUCUCCUUGAAUAAUGAUGUAUUUUACAUGCAAUUCAAAGAUUGGGCCAGAUUUUGAAUUUCAAUGUAAUUGAUUCCAGUAAUGGGGUAAGGAGUCACAAAAAGGAAGACGAAAAAAACAAACAUAGGUGAUUGGAAAAAUGGCAGGCUUGUUGGUUUCGACAGAUGAAAACCAGGAAAUUGAAUGGAAAGUAAGGUACGUGCAUAUUCAUGUUGUUUGAUUUGUCUCUUGAUGCUUGGAAAGUGUAGACAGAAGAAUGUGGAAAGGUACACUAAGCACAGCCCAAUGUGAUGGUUUAUAAGGUAGAAUAAAAUUAGUUGACUGAUCAAUUCAUGAAAGGAUACAUGUUGAGAUGUUCUUGUAGAUGAUGUAGAUGAUGAAUUAAUUCCACAGAAUAAAUUUUUUCUUGUGUUGUUGAUUUACAAUGUUCUGAUAAAGUUCAGCAAGCCUUAACAUAGGUCUUUUGGUUCAGUUUCUC